This 774-nucleotide ribosomal RNA is filed under the name uncultured Neocallimastigales. RNAcentral describes it as "partial large subunit ribosomal RNA". It matches the Rfam family "Eukaryotic large subunit ribosomal RNA", at positions 24 to 645 of the family's 3401-position model. The record is from RNAcentral. Lineage: Eukaryota; Fungi; Neocallimastigomycota; Neocallimastigomycetes; Neocallimastigales.
UAUCUCUGUAGAGUCUGCAUAUCAAUAAGCGGAGGAAAAGAAACUAACAAGGAUUCCCUUAGUAACGGCGAGUGAAGCGGGAAGAGCUCAAAUUUGAAAUCUUCAAGGUUCUACCUUGACGAAUUGUAGUUUAAAGAAGUGUUUUCUGUUAGAUGAGUAGCAAAAGUUCCUUGGAAUGGGACAUCAUAGAGGGUGAGAAUCCCGUAUUUGACCAUUAUUUCCAGCUUUGUGAUACACUUUCAAAGAGUCGGAUUGUUUGGGAAUGCAGUCCAAAAUGGGUGGUAAAUUUCAUCUAAAGCUAAAUAUUGGCGAGAGACCGAUAGCGAACAAGUACCGUGAGGGAAAGAUGAAAAGAACUUUGAAAAGAGAGUUAAACAGUACGUGAAAUUGUCAAAAGGGAAGCGUUUGACACCAGUGUUGUUUUUCCAAAAUCAAUUACGAAUGGCUUGAUUCUGUGUUGUAUUGACCUUAUCAGCUUUCUGCACUUUUUUUCGAGUCUUUCUUAAUGCACUUUUCGGUUAACAAGUCAACAUCAAUUUCUUUUGUUGUAAAAGAGUAUUCGGAAGGUGGCUUUCUUUUCGGAGAAAGUGUUUAUAGCCCUAUACUUCUACAAUCGGAGAGAUUGAGGUCUGCAGCGUAGAUCCUUCGGGGUUAGAUACAUUUGUGCUAAGUUAUAGCCUUUCAUAGACAACUUGUUGACUAUGAUCAGUCAUGUAGCUUACUCGCUUAUGCUAUUUUACCUACGCUUAGGAUGUUGACGAGACUGUCGAUCUC